RNAcentral lists this ribosomal RNA (257 nucleotides) under uncultured bacterium. Its description in RNAcentral is "partial small subunit ribosomal RNA". It matches the Rfam family "Bacterial small subunit ribosomal RNA", at positions 26 to 288 of the family's 1533-position model. The record is from RNAcentral.
AGGACGAACGCUGGCGGCGUGCUUAACACAUGCAAGUCGAGCGGAAAGGCCCUUCGGGGUACUCGAGCGGCGAACGGGUGAGUAACACGUGAGUAAUCUGCCCCUAGCUUUGGGAUAGCUCCGGGAAACCGGGAUUAAUACCGAAUACGACCACUUUAGACAUCUUUUGUGGUGGAAAGAAUUUCGGCUGGGGAUGAGCUCGCGGCCUAUCAGCUUGUUGGUGGGGUAACGGCCUACCAAGGCGACGACGGGUAGCC